GGUUAAGCGACUAAGCGUACACGGUGGAUGCCCUGGCAGUCAGAGGCGAUGAAGGACGUGCUAAUCUGCGAAAAGCGUCGGUAAGGUGAUAUGAACCGUUACAGCCGGCGAUGUCCGAAUGGGGAAACCCAGUGUGAUUCGUCACACUAUCGUUAACUGAAUACAUAGGUUAACGAGGCGAACCGGGGGAACUGAAACAUCUAAGUACCCCGAGGAAAAGAAAUCAACCGAGAUUCCCCCAGUAGCGGCGAGCGAACGGGGAGCAGCCCAGAGUCUGAAUCAGCUUGUGUGUUAGUGGAACGGUCUGGAAAGUCCGACGGUACAGGGUGAUAGUCCCGUACACCAAAAUGCACAGGCUGUGAACUCGAAGAGUAGGGCGGGACACGUGGUAUCCUGUCUGAAUAUGGGGGGACCAUCCUCCAAGGCUAAAUACUCCUGACUGACCGAUAGUGAACCAGUACCGUGAGGGAAAGGCGAAAAGAACCCCGGCGAGGGGAGUGAAAAAGAACCUGAAACCGUGUACGUACAAGCAGUGGGAGCACCUUCGGGUGUGACUGCGUACCUUUUGUAUAAUGGGUCAGCGACUUAUAUUCUGUAGCAAGGUUAACCGUAUAGGGGAGCCGCAGGGAAACCGAGUCUUAACUGGGCGUUAAGUUGCAGGGUAUAGACCCGAAACCCGGUGAUCUAGCCAUGGGCAGGUUGAAGGUUGGGUAACACUAACUGGAGGACCGAACCGACUAAUGUUGAAAAAUUAGCGGAUGACUUGUGGCUGGGGGUGAAAGGCCAAUCAAACCGGGAGAUAGCUGGUUCUCCCCGAAAGCUAUUUAGGUAGCGCCUCGUGAAUUCAUCUUCGGGGGUAGAGCACUGUUUCGGCUAGGGGGUCAUCCCGACUUACCAACCCGAUGCAAACUACGAAUACCGAAGAAUGUUAUCACGGGAGACACACGGCGGGUGCUAACGUCCGUCGUGAAGAGGGAAACAACCCAGACCGCCAGCUAAGGUCCCAAAGUCAUGGUUAAGUGGGAAACGAUGUGGGAAGGCACAGACAGCCAGGAUGUUGGCUUAGAAGCAGCCAUCAUUUAAAGAAAGCGUAAUAGCUCACUGGUCGAGUCGGCCUGCGCGGAAGAUGUAACGGGGCUAAACCAUGCACCGAAGCUGCGGCAGCGACACUAUGUGUUGUUGGGUAGGGGAGCGUUCUGUAAGCCUGCGAAGGUGACCUGUGAGGGUUGCUGGAGGUAUCAGAAGUGCGAAUGCUGACAUAAGUAACGAUAAAGCGGGUGAAAAGCCCGCUCGCCGGAAGACCAAGGGUUCCUGUCCAACGUUAAUCGGGGCAGGGUGAGUCGACCCCUAAGGCGAGGCCGAAAGGCGUAGUCGAUGGGAAACAGGUUAAUAUUCCUGUACUUGGUGUUACUGCGAAGGGGGGACGGAGAAGGCUAUGUUAGCCGGGCGACGGUUGUCCCGGUUUAAGCAUGUAGGCUGAUUAUCCAGGCAAAUCCGGAUAAUCAAGGCUGAGGUGUGAUGACGAGGCACUACGGUGCUGAAGUAACAAAUGCCCUGCUUCCAGGAAAAGCCUCUAAGCAUCAGGUAACAUCAAAUCGUACCCCAAACCGACACAGGUGGUCAGGUAGAGAAUACCAAGGCGCUUGAGAGAACUCGGGUGAAGGAACUAGGCAAAAUGGUGCCGUAACUUCGGGAGAAGGCACGCUGGUGUGUAGGUGAAGUCCCUGCGGAUGGAGCUGAGACCAGUCGAAGAUACCAGCUGGCUGCAACUGUUUAUUAAAAACACAGCACUGUGCAAACACGAAAGUGGACGUAUACGGUGUGACGCCUGCCCGGUGCCGGAAGGUUAAUUGAUGGGGUUAUCCGUAAGGAGAAGCUCUUGAUCGAAGCCCCGGUAAACGGCGGCCGUAACUAUAACGGUCCUAAGGUAGCGAAAUUCCUUGUCGGGUAAGUUCCGACCUGCACGAAUGGCGUAAUGAUGGCCAGGCUGUCUCCACCCGAGACUCAGUGAAAUUGAACUCGCUGUGAAGAUGCAGUGUACCCGCGGCAAGACGGAAAGACCCCGUGAACCUUUACUAUAGCUUGACACUGAACAUUGAGCCUUGAUGUGUAGGAUAGGUGGGAGGCUUUGAAGCGUGGACGCCAGUCUGCGUGGAGCCAACCUUGAAAUACCACCCUUUAAUGUUUGAUGUUCUAACGUUGGCCCCUGACCGGGGUUGCGGACAGUGUCUGGUGGGUAGUUUGACUGGGGCGGUCUCCUCCCAAAGCGUAACGGAGGAGCACGAAGGUUAGCUAAUCCUGGUCGGACAUCAGGAGGUUAGUGCAAUGGCAUAAGCUAGCUUGACUGCGAGCGUGACGGCGCGAGCAGGUGCGAAAGCAGGUCAUAGUGAUCCGGUGGUUCUGAAUGGAAGGGCCAUCGCUCAACGGAUAAAAGGUACUCCGGGGAUAACAGGCUGAUACCGCCCAAGAGUUCAUAUCGACGGCGGUGUUUGGCACCUCGAUGUCGGCUCAUCACAUCCUGGGGCUGAAGUAGGUCCCAAGGGUAUGGCUGUUCGCCAUUUAAAGUGGUACGCGAGCUGGGUUUAGAACGUCGUGAGACAGUUCGGUCCCUAUCUGCCGUGGGCGCUGGAGAAUUGAGGGGGGCUGCUCCUAGUACGAGAGGACCGGAGUGGACGCAUCACUGGUGUUCGGGUUGUCAUGCCAAUGGCACUGCCCGGUAGCUAAAUGCGGAAGAGAUAAGUGCUGAAAGCAUCUAAGCACGAAACUUGCCCCGAGAUGAGUUCUCCCUGAGACUUUAAGUCUCCUGAAGGAACGUUAAAGACGAUGACGUUGAUAGGCCGGGUGUGUAAGCGCAGCGAUGCGUUGAGCUAACCGGUACUAAUGAACCGUGAGGCUUAACCUU
This 2902-nucleotide ribosomal RNA is filed under the name Klebsiella pneumoniae. RNAcentral's name for it is "23S ribosomal RNA". It matches the Rfam family "Bacterial large subunit ribosomal RNA". The record is from RNAcentral. Lineage: Bacteria; Pseudomonadati; Pseudomonadota; Gammaproteobacteria; Enterobacterales; Enterobacteriaceae.